UAGUCCACGCCGUAAACGAUGAUUACUCGUUGUUGGCAAUGCAUCGUCAGCGACUGCGCGAAAGCAUUAAGUAAUCCACCUGGGGAGUACGUUGGCAACAAUGAAACUCAAAGGAAUUGACGGGGGCCCGCACAAGCGGAGGAACAUGUGGUUUAAUUCGAUGAUACGCGAGGAACCUUACCUGGACUUAAAUGUAGGUUGACAGGACUAGAGAUAGUUUUUUCUUCGGACAAUUUACAAGGUGCUGCAUGGUUGUCGUCAGCUCGUGCCGUGAGGUGUCGGGUUAAGUCCCAUAACGAGCGCAACCCCUAUUGUUAGUUACCAUCAGGUUAAGCUGGGGACUCUAACAAGACUGCCUGGGUAACCAGAGAGGAAGGUGGGGAUGACGUCAAAUCAGCACGGCCCUUACGUCCAGGGCUACACACGUGUUACAAUGGUCGGUACAAAGGGCAGCUACUAUGCGAAUAGAUGCUAAUCUCCAAAACCGGUCUCAGUUCGGAUCGGAGUCUGCAACUCGACUCCG
RNAcentral lists this ribosomal RNA (523 nucleotides) under uncultured bacterium. RNAcentral's name for it is "bacterial SSU rRNA". It matches the Rfam family "Bacterial small subunit ribosomal RNA", at positions 791 to 1320 of the family's 1533-position model. The record is from RNAcentral.